RNAcentral lists this ribosomal RNA (488 nucleotides) under uncultured cyanobacterium. Its description in RNAcentral is "bacterial SSU rRNA". It matches the Rfam family "Bacterial small subunit ribosomal RNA", at positions 394 to 896 of the family's 1533-position model. Lineage: Bacteria; Bacillati; Cyanobacteriota. The record is from RNAcentral.
ACGCCGCGUGAGGGAUGAAGGCCUCUGGGCUGUAAACCUCUUUUAUCAAGGAAGAAGGUCUGACGGUACUUGAUGAAUAAGCCACGGCUAAUUCCGUGCCAGCAGCCGCGGUAAUACGGGAGUGGCAAGCGUUAUCCGGAAUUAUUGGGCGUAAAGCGUCCGCAGGCGGUCUUGUAAGUCUGUCGUUAAAGCGUGGAGCUUAACUCCAUUUCGGCGGUGGAAACUACAAGACUAGAGUGUGGUAGGGGCAGAGGGAAUUCCCGGUGUAGCGGUGAAAUGCGUAGAUAUCGGGAAGAACACCAGUGGCGAAGGCGCUCUGCUGGGCCAUAACUGACGCUCAUGGACGAAAGCCAGGGGAGCGAAAGGGAUUAGAUACCCCUGUAGUCCUGGCCGUAAACGAUGAACACUAGGUGUCGGGGGAAUCGACCCCCUCGGUGUCGUAGCCAACGCGUUAAGUGUUCCGCCUGGGGAGUACGCACGCAAGUGUG